Sander lucioperca (pikeperch) is the source of this 191-nucleotide long non-coding RNA. RefSeq lists it as uncharacterized. The record is from RefSeq and is a predicted model, not a curated record. Lineage: Eukaryota; Metazoa; Chordata; Actinopteri; Perciformes; Percidae. The transcript has 3 exons.
GAGUAAUCUGUUACUACCUUAUGAAUCAGAGAAAUCUAUUACUGCCUGAUGAAUCAGAGUAAUCUAUUACUACCUGAUGAAUCAGAGUAAUCUAUUACUACCUAAUGAAUCAGAGUAAUCUGUUACUCCCUGAUGAACCAGAGUAACUUGUUACUACCUGAUUUUAAAUGUACUUUAAGUAUUAAAAGUAA